Molecule: ribosomal RNA, 461 nt
Filed under: Streptococcus mitis
Lineage: Bacteria; Bacillati; Bacillota; Bacilli; Lactobacillales; Streptococcaceae
Description: bacterial SSU rRNA
Rfam family: Bacterial small subunit ribosomal RNA
Source: RNAcentral
GACGAACGCUGGCGGCGUGCCUAAUACAUGCAAGUAGAACGCUGAAGGAGGAGCUUGCUUCUCUGGAUGAGUUGCGAACGGGUGAGUAACGCGUAGGUAACCUGCCUGGUAGCGGGGGAUAACUAUUGGAAACGAUAGCUAAUACCGCAUAAUAGCAGUUAUUGCAUGAUAACUGUUUGAAAGGUGCAAUUGCACCACUACCAGAUGGACCUGCGUUGUAUUAGCUAGUUGGUGGGGUAACGGCUCACCAAGGCGACGAUACAUAGCCGACCUGAGAGGGUGAUCGGCCACACUGGGACUGAGACACGGCCCAGACUCCUACGGGAGGCAGCAGUAGGGAAUCUUCGGCAAUGGACGGAAGUCUGACCGAGCAACGCCGCGUGAGUGAAGAAGGUUUUCGGAUCGUAAAGCUCUGUUGUAAGAGAAGAAACGAGUGUGAGAGUGGAAAGUUCACAACUGGG